GCAGUCGAACGCACUCGACCUUCGGGUCACAUGAGUGAGUGGCGAACGGGUGAGUAACACGUGAGGAACCUGCCCCGAAGACUGGAAUAACCCGAGGAAACUCGGGCUAAUACCGGAUAUCCCCACCAGGCCGCAUGGCCAGGUGAGGAAAUGCUCCGGCGCUUCGGGAGGGUCUCGCGACCUAUCAGCUAGUUGGUGAGGUAACGGCUCACCAAGGCAUCGACGGGUAGCUGGUCUGAGAGGACGAUCAGCCACACUGGGACUGAGACACGGCCCAGACUCCUACGGGAGGCAGCAGUGGGGAAUCUUGCGCAAUGGGCGAAAGCCUGACGCAGCCACGCCGCGUGAGGGAUGAAGGCUUUCGGGUUGUAAACCUCUUUCAGCAGGGACGAAAAUGACGGUACCUGCAGAAGAAGCUCCGGCCAACUACGUGCCAGCAGCCGCGGUAACACGUAGGGAGCAAGCGUUGUCCGGAUUUAUUGGGCGUAAAGAGCUCGUAGGCGGUUCAGUAAGUCGGGUGUGAAAACUUGAGGCUCAACCUCAAGAGGCCACUCGAUACUGCUGUGACUGGAGUCCGGUAGAGGAGUGUGGAAUUCCUGGUGUAGCGGUGAAAUGCGCAGAUAUCAGGAGGAACACCGACAGCGAAGGCAGCACUCUGGGCCGGUACUGACGCUGAGGAGCGAAAGCAUGGGGAGCGAACAGGAUUAGAUACCCUGGUAGUCCAUGCCGUAAACGUUGGGCACUAGGUGUGGGGUCUAGCUAACAGA
Molecule: ribosomal RNA, 767 nt
Filed under: uncultured marine bacterium
Lineage: Bacteria
Description: bacterial SSU rRNA
Rfam family: Bacterial small subunit ribosomal RNA
Source: RNAcentral